This is a long non-coding RNA of Rana temporaria (common frog), 503 nucleotides long. RefSeq lists it as uncharacterized. The transcript has 3 exons. Lineage: Eukaryota; Metazoa; Chordata; Amphibia; Anura; Ranidae. The record is from RefSeq and is a predicted model, not a curated record.
CUGGAGUGGAGGUCACGUGCUUCCUGUCAUCAGUGGAGCUCCACUCUGCAGCCACCCCUCUCGAAGAAAAACAGGAAGUAUGGGCGGGGGAUGGGCUAGAUAUAGGAUACAUUCACUGCGUACCCUGAGAAGCCUCACAUGAUGCAGUUCUAACAACAUCUCAUAUUGUGUGCGGAUCACUCUCAUGGGAACUGAUGAAAGAUAAGCACAGAACGUUGUAUAACAUACAAUAUCCAAGGUGAAAGGAGGAGCAAAAUGAGAGCACACAUCACUGGAACACACAAAGAGGGAUUAUAGAGCAGUAACUAUCUGGAUAUCCAUCAACAACCAUCAGCCCUCUUCACAGGACAUCACCCAUCACAGUGCCUCCACCUCACUGUCUGACAACAGAGGUAUUUAGAAGCACACAAGGAUCUCUUCAAGGACGUCGAGAUGGAUAAUCAGCCGCCCCUCACAUCACCGGAUGGAUCCAGUAAUGGGAACCCACCAGAGAGAUGUCCCCG